CCCUUAGAUGUCCGGGGCUGCACGCGCGCUACACUGAAGGAAUCAGCGUGCUAAAACCAUUGUCGAAAGGCAUUGGUAAACCCAUUAAAAUCCUACGUGAUUGGGAUCGGGAAUUGCAAUUAUUUCCCUUGAACGAGGAAUUCCCAGUAAGUGUGGGUCAUAAGCUCGCGUUGAUUACGUCCCGGCCCUUUGUACACACCGCCCGUCGCUGCCCGGGACUGAGCCGUUUCGAGAAAAGCGGGGACUGCUGCUGUCGGGGCUUUCGGGCCUUGGCUUCGGUGGAAACCGCUUUAAUCGCAGUGGCUUGAACCGGGCAAAAGUCGUAACA
Molecule: ribosomal RNA, 328 nt
Filed under: uncultured eukaryote
Lineage: Eukaryota
Description: partial 18S ribosomal RNA
Rfam family: Eukaryotic small subunit ribosomal RNA
Source: RNAcentral